This 354-nucleotide unclassified non-coding RNA is filed under the name soil metagenome. RNAcentral's name for it is "partial contains 5.8S ribosomal RNA, internal transcribed spacer 2, and large subunit ribosomal RNA". The stretch from base 1 to 120 matches the Rfam family "5.8S ribosomal RNA", at positions 35 to 154 of the family's 154-position model. The record is from RNAcentral.
GAUGAAGAGCGCAGCGAAAUGCGAUAAGUAAUGUGAAUUGCAGAAUUCAGUGAAUCAUCGAAUCUUUGAACGCACAUUGCGCCCACUAGUAUUCUGGUGGGCAUGCCUGUUCGAGCGUCAUUUCAACCCUCAAGCCUUAGUUGCUUGGUGUUGGGAGCUUAUCUUGCCGAAAGGCGGACAACUCCUUAAAACUAUUGGCGGAGUCGCGGUGACCCCAAGCGUAGUAAAUUUUUUUUUUCUCGCUUUAGGUGUUAACGCUGGCUUUCUAGCCGUUAAACCCUCUAAAUUUUUAGUGGUUGACCUCGGAUCAGGUAGGACUACCCGCUGAACUUAAGCAUAUCAAUAAGCGGAGGA